This 253-nucleotide ribosomal RNA is filed under the name uncultured bacterium. RNAcentral's name for it is "partial 16S ribosomal RNA". It matches the Rfam family "Bacterial small subunit ribosomal RNA", at positions 524 to 776 of the family's 1533-position model. The record is from RNAcentral.
UACGGAGGGUGCAAGCGUUAUCCGGAUUCACUGGGCUUAAAGGGUGUGUAGGCGGACUUUUAAGUCCGUGGUGAAAUCUCCGGGCUCAACCCGGAAACUGCCAUGGAUACUAUAGGUCUUGAAUAUUGUUGAGGUGGGCGGAACGGGUCAUGUAGCGGUGAAAUGCAUAGAUAUGACCCGGAACACCGAUUGCGAAGGCAGCCCACUAAGCAAUGAUUGACGCUGAGGCACGAAAGCGUGGGGAUCAAACAGG